CUCUGUUCUCCUGAAGGUCUGUCUAUGGGGAAGAAGGUGGAUGAGAAGCCAUGGCUGCCUCUGUCAUCACGCCAGGGUACAGGCGAUGAGGCGGGCAAAAGGGGCAGAGGAGGUGAGGUGGUGAUUCUGUUCACACCAUUCUCAGGUUGGAGAUCGGGACUCCAACUCCAUACCUGAUGCUUUCACUCAUUGGCUGGCGCUGUACCAACUGAGCCACAUCUCCAACCCCUAUUCUCCUAUUGAAAAUGUCGUUAAUUCACUCCGAUUUCAAGAUGAUAGCUCAUUUUUUUAAUUAAAAUAUCCCUUUAAAAAUG
Molecule: long non-coding RNA, 314 nt
Organism: Dipodomys spectabilis (banner-tailed kangaroo rat)
Lineage: Eukaryota; Metazoa; Chordata; Mammalia; Rodentia; Heteromyidae
Exons: 2
Source: RefSeq, a predicted model, not a curated record